RNAcentral lists this transfer RNA (60 nucleotides) under Ixodes affinis. Its description in RNAcentral is "tRNA-Val". The record is from RNAcentral. Lineage: Eukaryota; Metazoa; Arthropoda; Arachnida; Ixodida; Ixodidae.
UAAAAUGGUUAUAAAAACAAAAUUUUCAUUGUAAAUGAAAUAUCAACUUGAUUUCAUUUU